This is a long non-coding RNA of Herpailurus yagouaroundi (jaguarundi), 300 nucleotides long. RefSeq lists it as uncharacterized. The transcript is spliced from 2 exons. The record is from RefSeq and is a predicted model, not a curated record. Lineage: Eukaryota; Metazoa; Chordata; Mammalia; Carnivora; Felidae.
AAUCAAGUCAUGUUCUAAGUGGAAUUGCCAGUACGUACUUCUAAAAGGAAAACACAUGAACCAUGGGAGUUCCCCGCCAGGGACAAACAUGUGAUAUUACAAAGGUAUAACAGUGCCUCCUUCAGAUCUGGCUGCUCCACACUGACCCACCAAUGUUUGUAUCCUCAGAAAAGGAAACUGAAGCAGACCAAAGACCCAGCAUCAGAGGAAACUCAAUUCCAAGAUGCCUGCUGUGCGGUGGCCUUGCUUUCCCCAUAAUGUCAAAAUAAAUAUAAAAGAAUUACCUCAAAAUGAAGGGCA